GUAUAAGUUUAGGAGGUAUUACAACCCCAUUAACAUUCUAAGACAUUCUGAUAGAGUAUAUGUAAAAUAACAUAGAGCAAGAUAUAUUCCUAGGGAAAAGCUACAUUUCACAGCAGCAAGCCCCAAAACAAACCGAGUGUAACCUCGAGGAGUAAUAUUAUCUUAUUCUACAAAAGGUGCACAGGUGAUAGAAAUUGAUUAAUGGCAAGUGUGCACAAUGCUCCAGAGAGCCAGCAACAACCAUACCAGAUUUAUUUCAAUAAUGAUCCUUCCGCAGGUUCACCUACGGAAA
This 292-nucleotide unclassified non-coding RNA is filed under the name uncultured fungus. RNAcentral describes it as "sequence contains ITS1". The record is from RNAcentral. Lineage: Eukaryota; Fungi.